This 385-nucleotide ribosomal RNA is filed under the name uncultured bacterium. RNAcentral's name for it is "bacterial SSU rRNA". It matches the Rfam family "Bacterial small subunit ribosomal RNA", at positions 28 to 414 of the family's 1533-position model. The record is from RNAcentral.
GACGAACGCUGGCGGCAUGCUUAACACAUGCAAGUCGAACGGUAACAGGCCCUUCGGGUGCUGACGAGUGGCGGACGGGUGAGUAAUGCUUAGGAAUCUGCCUAGUAGUGGGGGAUAACCCGGGGAAACUCGGGCUAAUACCGCAUACGCCCUACGGGGAAGGACGGGGACGUUUCGGCCGUCGCGCUAUUAGAUGAGCCUAAGUCCGAUUAGCUAGUUGGUAGGGUAAUGGCCUACCAAGGCGACGAUCGGUAGCUGGUCUGAGAGGACGACCAGCCACACUGGGACGUGAGACACGGCCCAGACUCCUACGGGAGGCAGCAGUGGGGAAUAUUGGACAAUGGGCGCAAGACCUGAUCCAGCGAUGCCGCGUGUGUGAAGAAGG